AGGUAGAAGCACGGACAAUGUCUGUAAAUAUUGAUUCUUUGAAGACGGAAGUUGAAAAAGAAAAAUCUUUGUCAUCAGAAAUGGAAGCUAAAUGUCAUGAAUUGGAAAACGACCUUAGAAAAAAAUCCCAGGAAGCUGAAGCUCAGCAAACUUCUGGUUCAAAUAGUGAAUUGAAAAUAAAACAGGAGGAUUUAGCCGUGGCUGCUGACAA
Molecule: unclassified non-coding RNA, 211 nt
Filed under: Hevea brasiliensis (rubber tree)
Lineage: Eukaryota; Viridiplantae; Streptophyta; Magnoliopsida; Malpighiales; Euphorbiaceae
Source: RNAcentral